Molecule: ribosomal RNA, 490 nt
Filed under: Bacillus sp. (in: firmicutes)
Lineage: Bacteria; Bacillati; Bacillota; Bacilli; Caryophanales; Bacillaceae
Description: bacterial SSU rRNA
Rfam family: Bacterial small subunit ribosomal RNA
Source: RNAcentral
GAACGCUGGCGGCGUGCCUAAUACAUGCAAGUCGAGCGGACAGAAGGGAGCUUGCUCCCGGAUGUUAGCGGCGGACGGGUGAGUAACACGUGGGUAACCUGCCUGUAAGACUGGGAUAACUCCGGGAAACCGGAGCUAAUACCGGAUAGUUCCUUGAACCGCAUGGUUCAAGGAUGAAAGACGGUUUCGGCUGUCACUUACAGAUGGACCCGCGGCGCAUUAGCUAGUUGGUGGGGUAAUGGCUCACCAAGGCGACGAUGCGUAGCCGACCUGAGAGGGUGAUCGGCCACACUGGGACUGAGACACGGCCCAGACUCCUACGGGAGGCAGCAGUAGGGAAUCUUCCGCAAUGGACGAAAGUCUGACGGAGCAACGCCGCGUGAGUGAUGAAGGUUUUCGGAUCGUAAAGCUCUGUUGUUAGGGAAGAACAAGUGCGAGAGUAACUGCUCGCACCUUGACGGUACCUAACCAGAAAGCCACGGCUAACUAC